Molecule: ribosomal RNA, 466 nt
Filed under: uncultured bacterium
Lineage: Bacteria
Description: partial 16S ribosomal RNA
Rfam family: Bacterial small subunit ribosomal RNA
Source: RNAcentral
GACGAACGCUGGCGGCGCGCCUAACACAUGCAAGUCGAACGAGCGAGAGAGAGCUUGCUUUCUCGAGCGAGUGGCGAACGGGUGAGUAACGCGUGAGGAACCUGCCUCAAAGAGGGGGACAACAGUUGGAAACGACUGCUAAUACCGCAUAAGCCCACGGUGCCGCAUGGCACCGAGGGAAAAGGAGCAAUCCGCUUUGAGAUGGCCUCGCGUCCGAUUAGCUAGUUGGUGAGGUAAUGGCCCACCAAGGCGACGAUCGGUAGCCGGACUGAGAGGUUGAACGGCCACAUUGGGACUGAGACACGGCCCAGACUCCUACGGGAGGCAGCAGUGGGGAAUAUUGCACAAUGGGGGAAACCCUGAUGCAGCGACGCCGCGUGGAGGAAGAAGGUCUUCGGAUUGUAAACUCCUGUUGUUGGGGAAGAUAAUGACGGUACCCAACAAGGAAGUGACGGCUAACUACGUG